Manacus vitellinus (golden-collared manakin) is the source of this 395-nucleotide long non-coding RNA. RefSeq lists it as uncharacterized. The transcript is spliced from 3 exons. Lineage: Eukaryota; Metazoa; Chordata; Aves; Passeriformes; Pipridae. The record is from RefSeq and is a predicted model, not a curated record.
AUACUCUCAAUUACCUAAAGUGUUGGAACCUUUAAGUUAUCAUCAACUACUGAGACUGCAGCUGUAACCAACUGAAGUUCCCACUUGGUUCCCACUUUUCUGGGGAGACAGAGUAUCAUCUCCUCUGGGCAGAAAGCCAUGGCCACAGGAGGGAUCAAAACAGAUGAACUAUCACUGCUGGACUGGACUCUGAGAAACAAAGGCAGUGCCUCUGAAGCUGCCAGAAGCUGGCAAGAAGCAGUGCUCACUAACACUUGGAAGGACAUAAAGCAACUUGCAACCAACACAUGGAUGAGAAAUCACUGCAACUGAGUCAUGAAGGCCAGCAAUUUAUUCCUCUCUUUAUCUGCCAAGCAAGAUAAACGCAAAAUCUGGAGAUGGAAGGAACAAAAGAA